This 500-nucleotide ribosomal RNA is filed under the name uncultured bacterium. RNAcentral describes it as "partial 16S ribosomal RNA". It matches the Rfam family "Bacterial small subunit ribosomal RNA", at positions 30 to 523 of the family's 1533-position model. The record is from RNAcentral.
AUUGAACGCUGGCGGAAUGCUUUACACAUGCAAGUCGAACGGCAGCACGGACUUCGGUCUGGUGGCGAGUGGCGAACAGGUGAGUAAUGUAUCGGAACGUGCCCAGUCGUGGGGGAUAACGUAGUGAAAAUUACGCUAAUACCGCAUACGAUCUAUGGAUGAAAGCGGGGGAUCGCAAGACCUCGCGCGAUUGGAGCGGCCGAUAUCAGAUUAGGUAGUUGGUGGGGUAAAGGCUCACCAAGCCAACGAUCUGUAGCUGGUCUGAGAGGACGACCAGCCACACUGGAACUGAGACACGGUCCAGACUCCUACGGGAGGCAGCAGUGGGGAAUUUUGGACAAUGGACGCAAGUCUGAUCCAGCCAUUCCGCGUGCAGGAUUAAGGCCCUCGGGUUGUAAACUGCUUUUGUACGGAACGAAAAGGUCUCUCUUAAUACGGGGGACUCAUGACGGUACCGUAAGAAUAAGCACCGGCUAACUACGUGCCAGCAGCCGCGGUAA